GAUAAACGCUAGCGGCAGGCUUAACACAUGCAAGUCGAGGGGCAGCAUAGAUUGUAGCAAUACAAUUGGUGGCGACCGGCGCACGGGUGCGUAACGCGUAUGCAACCUACCCGUCACAGGGGGAUAAUCCGGAGAAAUCUGGUCUAAUACCCCAUAACAUAUGGAUCGGCAUCGGUUCAUGUUGAAAUUUUCGGAGGUGACGGAUGGGCAUGCGUAGCAUUAGCUUGUUGGUGAGGUAACGGCUCACCAAGGCGACGAUGCUUAGGGGGACUGAGAGGUUUUCCCCCCACACUGGCACUGGGACACGGACCAGACUCCUACGGGAGGCAGCAGUGAGGAAUGUUGGUCAAUGGGCGCAAGCCUGAACCAGCCAUGCCGCGUGCAGGAUGACGGCUCUAUGAGUUGUAAACUGCUUUUGUACGAGGGUAAAGUGGGUUACGUGUAACCUUUUGAAAGUAUCGUACGAAUAAGGAUCGGCUAACUCCGUGCCAGCCGCCGCCGUAA
RNAcentral lists this ribosomal RNA (504 nucleotides) under uncultured bacterium. Its description in RNAcentral is "partial 16S ribosomal RNA". It matches the Rfam family "Bacterial small subunit ribosomal RNA", at positions 28 to 523 of the family's 1533-position model. The record is from RNAcentral.